Molecule: ribosomal RNA, 301 nt
Filed under: uncultured bacterium
Lineage: Bacteria
Description: partial 16S ribosomal RNA
Rfam family: Bacterial small subunit ribosomal RNA
Source: RNAcentral
CAGUACCACGGUAAUACGAAGGGGGCUAGCGUUGUUCGGAUUUACUGGGCGUAAAGCGCACGUAGGCGGAUCGAUCAGUCAGGGGUGAAAUCCCAGAGCUCAACUCUGGAACUGCCUUUGAUACUGUCGAUCUGGAGUAUGGAAGAGGUGAGUGGAAUUCCGAGUGUAGAGGUGAAAUUCGUAGAUAUUCGGAGGAACACCAGUGGCGAAGGCGGCUCACUGGUCCAUUACUGACGCUGAGGUGCGAAAGCGUGGGGAGCAAACAGGAUUAGAUACCCCAGUAGUCCCUGUCUCUUAUACA